This 351-nucleotide ribosomal RNA is filed under the name Mesosa atrostigma. Its description in RNAcentral is "SSU rRNA". It matches the Rfam family "Eukaryotic small subunit ribosomal RNA", at positions 1175 to 1489 of the family's 1831-position model. The record is from RNAcentral. Lineage: Eukaryota; Metazoa; Arthropoda; Insecta; Coleoptera; Cerambycidae.
AGUGGAGCCUGCGGCUUAAUUUGACUCAACACGGGAAACCUCACCAGGCCCGGACACCGGAAGGAUUGACAGAUUGAGAGCUCUUUCUUGAUUCGGUGGGUGGUGGUGCAUGGCCGUUCUUAGUUGGUGGAGCGAUUUGUCUGGUUAAUUCCGAUAACGAACGAGACUCUAGCCUGCUAACUAGGCGUAUUUCGACAUCCCAAAGGCCCGCCGAUUCGAGGUUUCGACCUCUUAUCGUGCGCGGUUUUUACUGUCGGCGUACAAACAAUUCUUCUUAGAGGGACAGGCGGCAUUUAGCCGCACGAGAUUGAGCAAUAACAGGUCUGUGAUGCCCUUAGAUGUUCUGGGCCG